GACCAGGAGCACACAGGGUGAACUGGGUGUUUAUCCCUCUCAAAGGCUCCAUCCGGACAGCCUCCGUUCCCCUCCCCGCUCCCCGCCCAUGUCUUCUCUCUAGCUGAGGCUUCAGAAACGUGACUGGGGGGAGUCUUGGAAGGAAGAAUGGCAGAACAGAGGGAGAAAAACCCGGACAGAGCACCCGCUGUGCGCCAAUCCCGGACCGAGCCUCUCCGUGUGCUACAAACUUGUGUCUUCUGAAGGAGCUCACCAGCAACUUCUACACCCAGGCCUGAGGAGGUGCUCCAAAGAAAGGGCUGCUGAUGGGAAGGAACUGAGAGGCGGGUCUCCUGUUUCCCCAGUACCCUAUAUCCGCA
RNAcentral lists this long non-coding RNA (359 nucleotides) under Fukomys damarensis (Damara mole-rat). Its description in RNAcentral is "lncRNA (ENSFDAG00000032631.1)". Lineage: Eukaryota; Metazoa; Chordata; Mammalia; Rodentia; Bathyergidae. The record is from RNAcentral.